GACGAACGCUGGCGGCGUGCUUAAUACAUGCAAGUCGAACGAGGUUGAUCCAGUGGAAACACUGGUGACUACCUAGUGGCGAACGGGUGAGUAACACGUGAGCAACCUGCCCCGAAGACCGGGAUAACAGUGGGAAACCGCUGCUAAUACCGGAUACCCCCACCGGAUCACAUGGUCUGAUGAGGAAAUGGAUUCCGCUUCGGGAGGGGCUCGCGGCCUAUCAGCUUGUUGGUGGGGUAACGGCCUACCAAGGCGACGACGGGUAGCCGGCCUGAGA
RNAcentral lists this ribosomal RNA (277 nucleotides) under uncultured bacterium. RNAcentral's name for it is "partial 16S ribosomal RNA". It matches the Rfam family "Bacterial small subunit ribosomal RNA", at positions 28 to 297 of the family's 1533-position model. The record is from RNAcentral.